CCUUGUACACACCGCCCGUCACGCCAUGGAAGCUGGGGGGACCUGAAGCCGGUGGGCUAACCGCAAGGGGGCAGCCGUCAAAGGCCAAUUCAGUGACUGGGGCG
RNAcentral lists this ribosomal RNA (104 nucleotides) under uncultured bacterium. Its description in RNAcentral is "partial 16S ribosomal RNA". It matches the Rfam family "Bacterial small subunit ribosomal RNA", at positions 1379 to 1482 of the family's 1533-position model. The record is from RNAcentral.